AUUGAACGCUGGCGGCAUGCUUUACACAUGCAAGUCGAACGGUAACAGGUCUUCGGAUGCUGACGAGUGGCGAACGUGUGAGUAAUACAUCGGAACGUGCCUAGUAGUGGGGGAUAACUACUCGAAACAGUAGCUAAUACCGCAUGAGAUCUACGGAUGAAAGCAGGGGACCUUCGGGCCUUGUGCUACUAGAUCGGCUGAUGGCAGAUUAGGUAGUUGGUGGGGUAAAGGCUUACCAAGCCUGCGAUCUGUAGCUGGUCUGAGAGGACGACCAGCCACACUGGGACUGAGACACGGCCCAGACUCCUACGGGAGGCAGCAGUGGGGAAUUUUGGACAAUGGGCGAAAGCCUGAUCCAGCAAUGCCGCGUGCAGGAUGAAGGCCCUCGGGUUGUAAACUGCUUUUGUACGGAACGAAAAGCCUGGGGCUAAUAUCCCCGGGUCAUGACGGUACCGUAAGAAUAAGCACCGGCUAACUACGUGCCAGCCGCCGCAGUAA
Molecule: ribosomal RNA, 498 nt
Filed under: uncultured bacterium
Lineage: Bacteria
Description: partial 16S ribosomal RNA
Rfam family: Bacterial small subunit ribosomal RNA
Source: RNAcentral